Cavia porcellus (domestic guinea pig) is the source of this 1325-nucleotide long non-coding RNA. RefSeq lists it as uncharacterized. Lineage: Eukaryota; Metazoa; Chordata; Mammalia; Rodentia; Caviidae. The transcript is spliced from 5 exons. The record is from RefSeq and is a predicted model, not a curated record.
GUGUGCUUCUGGAGGUUUCUAGUGCUUCUCCAGCCAGCCUUUCUGAAACUCCCGUACCUGACGGCGCAGUCAUUGUCAGGAGGGAGCUAGCGGCAUUCAAGGGGUCUUGGCAGCUGCUUGGGGGAGGAAGCCAGGGAUCGGGAAAGGGCGGCCUGUGCUGAAAAAGGAGCGCCCGCCCAGGCAGUCCGGGAUUCAAAUUGGGAAGCUCCUGAGCGCCCCCAAAGUCCUGUGCGAUUGGGCGGAGUGGCGAAGGGAAGCGGGGCGCGGAGAUUGGUGCUCUGCGCUCAAGCUCUAGGCGUGGGGUUGGUCUGCGCUGGAGACCAAAGGGGAACUAGGAUUUGCCGCUGCGGUCCGGGACCAGGAGGUGCCAGCUUCGAACUGCACCUUCCAGCUUUCUUGAGGAAGGCUCUGAGGCUGUCUCAAAGGAUAGAUCCUAUCAGUGAUGGCGAACCUUUUAGAACUUUCAAUCAUGCAAACAGCCUGCUAAGACUUGCAUGCCACAGGUUUCACCACUGCCGCUUCCUUCCUGGUGCACAGUCCUGCUGCAAAUGGGAGGUGCUCAGUCCUUUCAUACAGCACUCUGGGUUGCAAAUUAGGGGUGAGGGUUGAGAAGAUGGGAAGGUCUGUCCAGCCUGGGGUUGACUUCAGUGAGGAUUGAAGGAUGGGAUAGGUCUUGAGUGUACUGUCUGAAUGAAACUCUCUCUACUGCAGUGGACAGUGACAGGUGUGUAAGCGAGAAUGCGUCACCAUUCACAUGGGCCAGCCAGGCUUUCAGGGCAGACGGGCAAAGCCUGCUGGGAGCUCUACUGCCUGGAGCACCAUAUCCAGCCUGAUGGCACCAUGAUCAGCAGUGAGACCGCGGGGAACAGCAAUGACUCCUUCAACGCCGCUGAUGAAACAAGGGCUGAGUUGUCUUUGUGGACCUGGAGUCUACAAUUAUGAACAGGGUAAGAACUAGCACUCAGGUACCGCCUCCACCCUGAGCAGCUGAUAUCUGGCUAGGAAGACACUGCCAACAACUACGGCCAUGGCCACUAUACCAAGGAUCAAUGAUUUGGUGGUGGAGCAAAUCCGAAAGUGGUGGGUAUCAAUUACCAGCCCCCCACAGUGGUACCUGGGGACCAAGAGGAGCUGGCUGCUCUGGAGAAAGAUUAUGAAGAACAGGAAUGGGCACAGACUGCAUGGAUGAUGAUGAUGAGAGCAGGGAGUACCAGGCAGUCUUGGCACCUCCAGUGUCUGACUGUUCACUAUCCAGCUCUGUAACACUACUUCCUGGUUUCUAUAACUCCCUGAAAUACACUUGAUAUCCAGUGGUGUGGAAUCUC